Vicugna pacos (alpaca) is the source of this 116-nucleotide non-coding RNA. NCBI's taxonomy places the organism in Eukaryota, Metazoa, Chordata, Mammalia, Artiodactyla, Camelidae. The record is from RefSeq and is a predicted model, not a curated record.
GAGGGUGGGAAGGAAUAAAUUGGGAGUUAGAGAUUUGCAGAUACUGACUACUUUACAUUAAACAGAUAAAACGUUCAUACUGUAUAACACAGAGGACUAAUCGGAAGAGGACACGU